CCACCACAACCAAACCAGUUUUCCAUCUCUCCCGAUAUCUGAAUUCAAUCAUCGAUGCCAGAGAUCCACUUGGUGGCGGUUUAUGAGACCAUGAUAGUCACUUCUAUAUAUGAAGUUGCUGUGGAUCACUGGGUUCACUUUAAUCGGGUGGAUACAUGUAUCAUCAAAGAUUAGAAAUUGGAUGACCCUUUUCAAUGAUGUGUAAUCAAACAAUUCAGUAUCUGUCAUAUCAAAGAUAUAGAUAUCAUAAUCGUGUUCCUUAAUUAAGUGUCGAUCUGUUACGGAGCACUCGUGACGGUUUGAGAGACCAUCUCGGUUUGGUGCCGGUUACCGCUAGGGACUCGUGCAGAUUGUACCAAGAGCAGCCUGCCUACCUCAAUCUGGAGUAAUACAUUUUUGAUAGACGAUUCUUAAUGCUUCAGGAUGCGACUAAGAAAAAGAAGACCUUCCAUUUGGUGAUCCAUUCAAAAGGCAAGAAUCACUGAUUUUGAAGAUGCCAGAUGACAAUGAAUUAUUUGUUUAAUUAUUUUUCUUUGUUCAAUUAACCUGUAAACUAACAUGUAAUUUUUACAUAGGGUAUAAUGAUUUAGGUCCAACAAAAAAGCUUCGUUGAUGGGGAGCAAAAAGAUGAUAUUUACAAUGAGGUUCUUUGAAGAAGAUUUAAAAGAACAUACAUGAGUGUUAUGCCUUCUCGGGAUUUGGUUCAAAACCAACCAAAUGGACGGUGAAUAGUUCAAGUUAUGAUUAUAUGGUUUCAAGUUUUUAGCUUUUGGAAUUAGAUGAAUUUAAAUUUCGGUAAUUUUAUUGUUUUUAGAUUUCUUUUUCCUGGAUUUAAAUAUUUGAUGCAAUAAAACUUAAAUUUUCUU
Papaver somniferum (opium poppy) is the source of this 866-nucleotide long non-coding RNA. RefSeq lists it as uncharacterized. Lineage: Eukaryota; Viridiplantae; Streptophyta; Magnoliopsida; Ranunculales; Papaveraceae. The transcript is spliced from 4 exons. The record is from RefSeq and is a predicted model, not a curated record.